RNAcentral lists this long non-coding RNA (989 nucleotides) under Penaeus japonicus. RNAcentral's name for it is "uncharacterized LOC122265749". The record is from RNAcentral. Lineage: Eukaryota; Metazoa; Arthropoda; Malacostraca; Decapoda; Penaeidae.
AGCACAUGAUUCCACAAACAUAGUACGCAGCACACAGUAUUCAGCUCAACUGAUAUCUGUUUCCUGUGUCUGACUCACAUCCUCUGAUAAUCAGGUGUUCAAAUCCUGGACAGUUUUUUGACUCUCAAACAGCAUCAGACUAUCCUGUUGAACUUAUCCACUGAUCCCCUCCAGUUCGGCUAUGAGGAAGGUGUGGAGGUGGUGUUCCCUUGGUCUUGCCUGAAUGAAAUAAUGCUAACAACGCCAGUCCUUCAGUCAAGCAAGCAGUUGAUGACAUAAGUCGAGGUGAAACUGUCAUCUGUCGCCUCUUCAUGACUCAUUCCAUGGUUUUUCAUCACAAGUGGUUCAUGAAAUACUACCUGAGUGUCGUGUCCAGCCCACAGACAUCACACGUAGGGAUAUUCGAUCGAGAAUAGGCCUGUUAUUUAAAGAUAAACACAAUACGCCGAAAUAAGAUGGUUCACCUUCAACGCCAAUAAAUCGUCCAUUCCUUUAUUUACACCCAAAAGCAACCUUUUCUCUUCCUUCCUCUUUCUCUAACAGCACUACACAGACACCGUCAUAAGCGAAUCUCACUUCAUUUUAGCUUAAAAUGCCAUUGAAUUGCAACAAAACAUCAAACCUUUCCUGUGAUCACGGAUGUAAACUCAAACUGAUUAAUUCAUUCGUUUAUAGGAAAGAAAAAAAAAGAGCAUCGGAAGCUUACGGUCUUCUUGAUCCAAUCUUUUGUAUAUUUGAAUAAUUUACUAGUAACUCGGCUUUUUAUUUACUAAGUAUAUAGCGAAGGAUAUUUGUUAUAUAUUUUUCACUUUACCUUUUGUGCUGUGUGAUAUUUAUGGUGUAGUUAUGUUUAUUUUUGUAGUGUGCGAAUUCCUUAUUCCGAUUAAUCAGACGUUUUGAUCCUUUCAAGCUGCUUUUCCCAAGGCGUUUAUUAGCUUUUACGGCUUUCCAAUAGUUUGAAAAUAGAUAAAUAAAUAUGAUAUACUCCA